GAGGAUGUAGCUCAAUGGCACAGUGCCUGCCUGGAAAGCAUGAGGUCCUGAGUUCGAUCCCUGGUACCCCCC
Molecule: transfer RNA, 72 nt
Filed under: Heterocephalus glaber (naked mole-rat)
Lineage: Eukaryota; Metazoa; Chordata; Mammalia; Rodentia; Bathyergidae
Rfam family: tRNA
About the family: Transfer RNA (tRNA) molecules are approximately 80 nucleotides in length. Their secondary structure includes four short double-helical elements and three loops (D, anti-codon, and T loops).
Source: Rfam by way of RNAcentral